GACGAACGCUGGCGGCGUGCUUAACACAUGCGAGUCGAACGGAAAGGCCUGCUUUCCCUUGUGGAUUGCGGGUACUCGAGUGGCGAACGGGUGAGUAACACGUGAGUGAUCUGCCCCCAACUUGGGUAUAAGCCUGGGAAACUGGGUCUAAUUCCCGAUAGGACUGCAGGGUGGUGCCUGUGGUGGAAAACGAUUUUCUAGUGGUUGGGGAUGAGCUCGCGGCCUAUCAGCUUGUUGGUGGGGUAAUGGCCUACCAAGGCGGCGACGGGUAGCCGGCCUGAGAGGGUGGACGGCCACAUUGGGACUGAGAUACGGCCCAGACUCCUACGGGAGGCAGCAGUGGGGAAUAUUGCACAAGGGGCGGAAGCCUGAUGCAGCGACGCCGCGUGGGGGAUGACGGCCUUCGGGUGGUAAACUCCUUUCGACCGCGAGGAAGCCACCUGGUUGGAAGGGUGGUGACGGUAGUGGUAGAAGAAGCACCGGCUAACUACGUG
RNAcentral lists this ribosomal RNA (494 nucleotides) under uncultured bacterium. Its description in RNAcentral is "partial 16S ribosomal RNA". It matches the Rfam family "Bacterial small subunit ribosomal RNA", at positions 28 to 507 of the family's 1533-position model. The record is from RNAcentral.